GAACGCACCUUGCGCCCUUUGGCUAUUCUGAAGGGCAUGCCUGUUUGAGUAUCAUGAACACCUCAACUCUCAUGGUCCGCCAUGAUGAGCUUGGACUAUGGGGGUCUUGCCGGCCUAGCGUCGGCUCCUCUCAAAUGGAUCAGCUUCCCAGUGUUUGGUGGCGUCACAGGUGUGAUAACUAUCUACGCUUGUGGUUUUCCACCAUUAACCUUCAGCAAUGGAGGUUCGCUGGAGCUUACAGAUGUCUUUCCUUGGGGAGGACAGCUUCUUGAAUGUCUGAAUUAAAAUCAGGUAGGACUACCCGCGGAACUUA
RNAcentral lists this unclassified non-coding RNA (313 nucleotides) under uncultured Tomentella. Its description in RNAcentral is "sequence contains 5.8S rRNA gene". The record is from RNAcentral. Lineage: Eukaryota; Fungi; Basidiomycota; Agaricomycetes; Thelephorales; Thelephoraceae.